GAAGGCAUAGCUCAGUGUUAGAGUGCAUGCCUAGCAUACAUGAGGUCUUGGGUUCAAGCCCCAACACCUCUA
RNAcentral lists this transfer RNA (72 nucleotides) under Camelus bactrianus (Bactrian camel). It matches the Rfam family "tRNA". Rfam says of the family: Transfer RNA (tRNA) molecules are approximately 80 nucleotides in length. The record is from Rfam by way of RNAcentral. RNAcentral also lists the same sequence under 1 other name. Lineage: Eukaryota; Metazoa; Chordata; Mammalia; Artiodactyla; Camelidae.